RNAcentral lists this ribosomal RNA (165 nucleotides) under uncultured bacterium. RNAcentral's name for it is "partial 16S rRNA". It matches the Rfam family "Bacterial small subunit ribosomal RNA", at positions 355 to 511 of the family's 1533-position model. The record is from RNAcentral.
UAGGGAAUCUUCGGCAAUGGGGGCAACCCUGACCGAGCAACGCCGCGUGAGUGAAGAAGAUUUUCGGAUCGUAAAGCUCUGUUGUAAGAGAAGAACGUGUGUGAGAGUGGAAAGUUCACACAGUGACGGUAACUUACCAGAAAGGGACGGCUAACUACGCGCCAG